CAUGCACACCUGUGUGCUUGCGGUGUCGGUGGAGGCAUUGAUGAAUCAUCAAUCAACGAUCAGCAAAUAUGUUUUUAGUUACGGUUCAUCCAACACAAUCGUCUGAUCAAUCUGUUUUCCCAUCUUCAUGUCGUGUUCAUGCAUGUAGUGUAAUCAUCCUAUUCAUGUGUUGUGUUGUGGUCUUACUGUUAUUUACCACUCUAUAGAUAACUAUCAGUUCAUCUUCUAAGACUUGGAAUGCAUCGAUAAAAUACCAUAAUAAUAUCGAUAUUGAGGUUGAAAUCCCUAGAGGCAAAGUUGAUUUGUCAAUAGUACCCACGUGGACACACACAUUAACGUUCCAUACAUUAAUGUGUAGUACUAGGUGGUACGGUGCAUCCCUCAUAAUAAUUAAUGCUGAUCCAUGUAGCUUCAGGUUCUCUGCCUCUCAAUAAGAAUCCAAACCAAACGGUUAGUGGAUGUGGCCAUCAGGUCACUAGGGUUAUAGUUAGGGGUGAGUGUUAGACACAGGAUUAGGAGUUAGCACCGCUGAACUCUGUGCUGAUGGGGGUUUAUUUAGACACGCCUUCAACGGCUUAGUAAAUUGUGUUAUGGUUAGGCACCACAGUAAAACCCAGACUGUGUUUAUGUUAUGAAGGUAAGGGGGGGAUGUGAUUACGCUAAGUGUCACAGUAAUGCUGUGGUCUUCGGAAAAGUCCAGUGAUUGAAUUUGUUUGUUUUUCCCUGCAGAGGAAAUGGUAGAGGAGAUGGAACACAGCUAUUAAACACAAACAUCCCCUUUGGAUAAAAGCAUCUGUUAAAGAACUAUAUGUAAUACAGCAGAAAGAAAACAGUUUGCUCACAAGUUUGGAACCUUUGACAAACAAUUUCAUAUCGUUUUUUAAAGUAAU
Molecule: long non-coding RNA, 890 nt
Organism: Gadus macrocephalus (Pacific cod)
Lineage: Eukaryota; Metazoa; Chordata; Actinopteri; Gadiformes; Gadidae
Exons: 2
Source: RefSeq, a predicted model, not a curated record